This 423-nucleotide ribosomal RNA is filed under the name uncultured bacterium. RNAcentral's name for it is "bacterial SSU rRNA". It matches the Rfam family "Bacterial small subunit ribosomal RNA", at positions 355 to 775 of the family's 1533-position model. The record is from RNAcentral.
UGAGGAAUAUUGGUCAAUGGACGAGAGUCUGAACCAGCCAAGUAGCGUGCAGGAAGACGGCCCUAUGGGUUGUAAACUGCUUUUAUAAGGGAAUAAAGUGAGUCUCGUGAGACUUUUUGCAUGUACCUUAUGAAUAAGGACCGGCUAAUUCCGUGCCAGCAGCCGCGGUAAUACGGAAGGUCCGGGCGUUAUCCGGAUUUAUUGGGUUUAAAGGGAGCGUAGGCCGGAGAUUAAGCGUGUUGUGAAAUGUAGAUGCUCAACAUCUGAACUGCAGCGCGAACUGGUUUCCUUGAGUACGCACAAAGUGGGCGGAAUUCGUGGUGUAGCGGUGAAAUGCUUAGAUAUCACGAAGAACUCCGAUUGCGAAGGCAGCUCACUGGAGCGCAACUGACGCUGAAGCUCGAAAGUGCGGGUAUCGAACAG